RNAcentral lists this long non-coding RNA (4596 nucleotides) under Populus tremula. RNAcentral's name for it is "long non-coding RNA (PTRE_LNC002331)". The record is from RNAcentral. Lineage: Eukaryota; Viridiplantae; Streptophyta; Magnoliopsida; Malpighiales; Salicaceae.
UGGAGCAGACCACUGCAUCAGUUGAGAUAGGAGACACGAUUUCUUCUGGCGAAGGUAACACUGGAGAUCUUGUAUUCAAAGCUGUGGAAUCAUGAGCCCACAACCCAUAUGAUCGUAGGAAGGUUUCAUUUGAAAGGGGAAACACCGUACCAUUUUCUAACUCGCUAUCAAUGGAUAAACUGAUGCUACCACUUUCAUUAUGCCUCUUGCUAUGAAGAGCCCUGUCACCAAUAUCACCUGCCUCUGACACGUUUUCACUCUCAAUAUCAUCAUCUACCUGGAAGGAUCUGCUGCGUGAUAAACUUAAAGAACGUCUUCUCACUGAAGAGGCUACAUUGCUAGUCUGACGAAAUGAUUCACUCAGAUUGGGUUCAGACUCAUUCGUUCCACGAUCCAUAACUUAGACUCAGAUAACAGUACUCAAUAAAUUAAAUCAGCAAAAGUCAAUCAACCACUGCCCUUGUACUUGUGAAUUAUAUAGAACUCUUCAUUUCAUAUAUUGAUAUCCAACUCCCGAGUCAAUCCAAAAACAGAUGCAAUGAUUGCAACAACACCAGAUAAAUGAAAAUGAAAGAGGAGGAAAGGAGUUCAUCAACAAGAAUAAGAAAUACUGUGUUUUAGUCACGGGGCAAAGCUAAUCUCAAGACCGACCAGCAGCCAGCAGUUUAGGUGAUUUCUCAGAACACACCGUGGACCAUCCAAAUUAGCAUCAAGUGGUCACCGCUUUCUAUGUUCCGUCCAAAUAGAACCGUGACUGAAUUGUCCAUAGAGGCUAAGCAAUGUUUUCAGAGUCCAUUAUUAAUCCAGUCAAUUGUUCCGUGCAAGCAUAAAAAGAAGAAGAAGCAGAGCACUGGUUUGGCUGCAAAAUAAAUAACUUUUUACUAACUUGAAGCGCAGCUACGGCAUAUUCAAAUGGCAGCAUAAUAAUAAAAUAAAAUAAAAUAAAAAAACUAAAUAAUAAUAAAAUAGCUACUUUCCAAAUCCCAAAAGAGAAGAGAGAGGGGGUUGUGACUUUAUUAGUAGCAGCCACACGGGCUUUUCAAUAAUUGAAGUGGGCUGUUCUUCUGUUAGCAUCAACAUAUAUAUAUAUAAUAAUAAUACCUAACCACCACUCUGUUCAAUCUGAUUGGACUCAGCUUAAGUUCUAAACAGUAAAUGAGUUUUUGCAAAUAAUUUAUCCCCAAAAAGAACAGCUUGCUUUCUUUCAAGGGCCUUUUUGACAUUAAAGUAAACUAGAGAUUAGCCAGCCAAGAAAAGCAAUUGUGAAAUCAAAUCACGAGAGAAAGCUAACUUUAUUAGACCAUUCAUUUCAAUCCAAAUGGAACAGCAAAAGGCAAAAAAGAAACACAGGGAAAGUUGAGAAGUGUCACCUUGUGGAGAAAGAGACGGGUGAGAGCUGAGAAAAGGAAACGCUGCUGCUUCAGGAGGGACGAGGGUAAAAGUGUCCUUCGGGCUUUCUUGGAUUUACCAAGUGUAUGAAUUAAUUCAAACACGCACGGAAGAGUUGGAUCAAAAGCGAAUUCAUUGAUGGCCGUUGAAACAAACUAUCAGCCCUUCGUUUAUUUGAGGCCUCUGCGGCGAUGAGAUAGCGAAAGAGGAGAAAAACGAUAGCUAUGGCGGUGCAACAACUGGAACCCUUCGUUUAUUUAAGGCCUUGGGGCACACUAUCUCUGACUUUUCUUCCUUUUUUUUCAUCAUGCAAUUCAUUAUUUAUUUUCCGGCAAUGGUAACAGUGACAUCUUCAAGAGCUCAUUGUUCUAGGAUACAACACGUGAACUCCGAGCCGAUUUAUUAAAUUAAGUUACUCCUCUCUUUUUUUUAGAAAUACUAGAUCAUUCGGUAGGAUUAGUUUUUUUCACGUAAAAAAAUAACUAAAUAUUGCUCAUAUAUUUUUUAAUAAAAACAUUUAAACCGUGUAAAAAUUAAUUUAAAAUGACUCCAUUACUUUGAUAGAUAAAAAAUAAUCUAGAUAAUCAAUAAAAAUAUAAUUUAAUUCAAAAUUAAUAAAAAUUUAAGAUAAGAUUUUUUAAUAAAUAUUAAAACAAUAAUAUAUUAAAUCGAUUCGAGUUAAUUUGGGUUAAUUUAAUCUAGAGAUCAUAAUAACUUAAUAGAAAAAAAAAUUACAAAAAUUGAUUUCCAAUAAAUACAAUGUUGAAGGAUAUAAAAGUAAAAUUGUUUUUUAAAAACACUAAAAAAAAUAGCUUUAGUCAAAUCGGGUUAACCUGUUAAACUCGUAACUUAGAUUAUGAGACCAUAAUAACCUAAUAAAAAGUAAAUUAAAAUAAAGUAUAAAACUCAAUUCUCAAUUAUCUUAAUGUUGAAAGAUAAAAUAAAAUAAAAACACAAAAAAUAAAUUAAGUCAACUAGAAUUAAUCUGCCAAACCUGUAAUCCAAGUCAUGAAAUGUGGAUAAACCUCAUAAAAACAGACAAAAAAAAACUCUUGGAUUCUAAUUCCAAAUGAACCCAAAGUUAAAAGAUGAAAUUGAAAGGGAAAAAAUCAAUUAGAAAAAUGAAAAAAAAAAAUCCUAUUAAACUUGCAAUCAAGAUAAUAAUUUUAAGAUAAUUUCAUAAAAAAAAUUGAAAAAAAUUAUAAAGUACAAUCUUGAAAGAUUGAAUUAAAAAUGAAAUAUAUAUAUAUAUAUAUAAAAUAUUAUUUUGUAAAUAGUGUUGUGUGAGAUGGUUACAGUAAAAGCUUCGAGUGUGUUUGGUAUUGCGGUAGCUGUUGUGGUUGUGGUUUGAAAAAAAUUGUUUUGUAAAAAGUACUUUUAGUUGAGGUUGGUUUGAAAAAAUAGAUGUUUGGUUAAAACUGUGGUUAAAAUUGAGGUCGAAGAAAAAAUAGUUUUAAUGUGUUUGGUUAAGAAUGCUUUUGAAAUUGAGGUUAUAAAAUAAUUUUAAAAAAUAUAUAUUAAUAUUGAUGGUUUUUAAUUUAAAUUUUAUGGAUUUAACUAUUUCUAUUACAUAAUGAAAUAAAUCACACUUAAAAAAAUUACUUUAACAAAAAAUUAUCUACAAUUCCAUUACGUACAAAAUUCAUCGGACAAGAACUACAAAAUUAGAUAAAAUAUUAUCAAGAAUAAAAUUAAGAUUACACUACAAGUAAAUUUAAUUCACCUUAAACUAAUUUAAAAAAAAAACAAAAAAAAAAUUGUUGUUCACGUUAAUAGCACGAGUGAAAUCAAUAAACUACGUUGGUAAAAAAAAAAAUAUACCUGUUCAGCGAACAGUGGAGGCAUGCUCCACUGUUCACUGAACAGUGCAUACCUCCACUGUUUCAAAAAAAAACUGAACAGUGGAGUUGCCAUUCAAAAAGCAGCCAUUUGCUGCUUUUAAUUUUCCUGCUGCCAGAACACAAUAAAUUAAGGGACUCACGCACAGUAAACAACUUUUUUUAUUUAACCAAACACUCAGUCAUUGCGUUUAUUCAUAAACGCAACCUUUACCUCGUGGCCAAACGGGCUCUUCGUCUCUUUUAUUUUAUUUUUAUUAUUAAUAAUGCAUUCUAGAGGGGAAAUGAUGCAAUUAUAUGUUCAUAUUUUGAGGUUCUUCCUAUGUUUGUGUUUGCAAAUUAUGUACUAUUAAAAGCAUUUACUUGCUUAAAAACAAAAAACUACCGUAAAAAGUUAUCUCCUUACAUCAAAACUUAAAUAAUUAUUUUGUAGUUAUAAUAAUAAUAAUAAUAAUAAUAAUAAUAAUAAUAAAAGAAUUCUUAAUUUAUUACUUUGAAAAAAAAAACCUACAUCAAUCAUUUUUAGCAAGUGUAAUAAUUAUUAUUUUUUAAAAGUAUUUUUUAUUUAGAAAUAUAUCAAAAUAAUAUAUAUUUUUUAUUUUUUUUAAAAAAUAUUUUUGAUAUAAAUAUAUUAAAAAAUAUAAAUAAAACUAAAUGAAAUUAAUUUAAAAUAAAAAAUAUAAAAAUUUUAAUUUUUUUAAAAUAUAUUUUUAAAACAUAAAAAUAAACUAGAUUCUAGCAAGCCGCCUGUAAUCCCCGGAAUAUCGACGCGAUGUGCGUAAUUAUAUUGUUAAACAUUCAUAGACAAUUUUAGCCGUCACGGAUCAACACAAAUACAGAUCGUAGAAAUAGUGAUAUUUUGCCUCUUUUUCCGAACUCGCCUUUAGCUUCUUUAAAAUUAUAUUCCAAGUGGACCAACACACACACUAAAAAAAAAGUAAACUGCAUCAGUUGAGACACGAUUUCUUCUGGCGAAGGUAACACUGGAGAUCUUGUAUUCAAAGCUGUGGAAUCAUGAGCCCCCAACCCAUAUGAUCGUAGGAAGGUUUCAUUUGAAAGGGGAAACACCAUACCAUUUUCUAAUUCGCUGUCAAUGGAUAAACUGAUGCUACCACUUUCAUUAUGCCUCUUGCUAUGAAGAGCCCUGUCACCAAUAUCACCUGCCUCUGACACGUUUUCACUCUCAAUAUCAUCAUCUACCUGGAAGGAUCUGCUGCGUGAUAAACUUAAAAAACGUCUUCUCACUGAAGAGACUACGCUGCUAGUUUGACGAAAUGAUUCACUCAGAUUGGGUUCAGACUCAUUGGUUCCACGAUCCAUAACUCAGACUCAGAUAACAGUACUCAAUAAAUUAAAUCAGCAAAAGUCA